CACCCCAAAUGCAGCCUCCGGUCUCCCACUUCCCACUCUCCCUCUUUGGCUUCUAGGGUUUCGCGAUCACCAGUCACGAUUUCGAUGCGAGGGAUAUGGAAAUUUCGCUAAUUCUGUGUUAUCGUGUUCUAGAUAGAUAGUUUCUCCGCCGCUUCCAUGGGCUAGGGUUAUCAAUCCACGUAUUUUUCAGUAAAUCUGGUGUUACCGAGUAUUUCAAGCCCGUUUCAUGUGAUUCUAGGAAUGAGGCUAGAAAUUUGUUUGGUUUGAUGGAUAGUAUUAAUUUGGUUCUAGGUUUUACUGACAAUGCUUCUCUGGGAUCUGAAGUUAUUGUUGUCUGUGAUUGGAAACGAUAGGAGCAAUGGAUCACUUCUAAGAAAAAUUGAUGCGAAUUGUAAAACUGCUUAUCCACCUACUUUUACACGGAUCUUAUGACUGAUCUCAGCCUUAACGUUAGGAUUGAUACUGACAGUUGGUGACGUGUUCUGUCGGAAGCCUCUAUUCUUGAUUUAUGGAUAUGAUAGCAGAUUGAGGUGGAGGAUCUCUUCAUUUUAUCUAAAAGUUACUAUGUGGUUUAUGAUAUCAUUUUAUUUGAUUAACUAUUUUGAUAGCAGUGGAAUUGACUAUUUGAAGUUCCUUGGACCGGGGCUUAUUAUGAUUCAAAUGUUUUGAAGGAAAAUCCAGUAUGCAUCCUAAUAUGCUUUAACAGAGAAGUUCUUAUACAUUUAAACAUUAAGAGGCUAGUGAACUUUGAUUUCAUUACUGUAUGUGUAAUUUGUGCAUCUAUUCUUCAUUUGUCUAUGUGCGAACUUACUAGAUGGAGUGUUUUAUGCAAUACGUUCAUCACCGAACAUGAAAUUUUGUUUUUCCUCUGGCACUUUUAAGCAAAGGCUGUUACGUGAAGGGUUCCUCAGCAUGAUGCCACUUUUGUCUCUGGAUCCAUUAAUAUACUUCUACAACAUUCAUUUGCAUGCAAAACAUAAUUCUUUUUUUCAAAUUAUUAUAAUUUUUGUCUUUCCAUUCAGAGUAGAAGAUGACAGUGGAAAUGACCUAGAUCCUCCUUAGUGCACAGCCAGUGGUUGCCACUAUUUGAAAAACAUGUAGAAUAAAGUUUCAAACAGUUGAAGGGACAAAGCUUUCUGCUAUCUUGCUGUCACUUUCUAGUGAGUUGGUAAACAAUGAGAAACCUGUUGAUGGCCGUCAGUUGGCUGCUUUGGUUCUUAAAAUGCCUUGGAUGCAAAAUAGUAACACAGGAAAAAUGAACUUGUUCAAAGACUGAAGUCAAAGCUUUGUGAACACUUGCAAUCAAAGCUUUGUGAACACUUGCAAUCCCUCAUGUUGAUGCUAGGUCCACUCCAUCACAAGUCAUUGCUAAGAUUGCAGGUAUUGAGCUACCUCAAGAUCAGUGGUCUGAACUAGGAAGCCUCAUGUUAGGCAAGCCACAUUAGAAAUCCUGGGUUACUCAUGUGAGGAAGACUCUGCAAGUUAUUGUUCCAGACCAAAUGAAUAGAUACUUAAGUUGUCUAGGGCAUCAAUUCUUCCAAGUGGAGUGCUGAUGUCUGGCUGGCUGCUAAGCAAGCAUUGUACGGUGUACUAGUUUUUGCACAAGUGGAUUUCUCAAAUGGCAUGGAAAGAGAGACUAUAUCAUGAGAGUUAUUUGUGAAGCAACCUUACUUGGGACAUGCUUGGGAUUGGUUGCAUGGACAGUUGGAUAUAUUAUACUCCCUUCUUAUGAUGCCUUUUGGCAAGGAAAAUGUAGCAAAACCAGAUUGGAGGCCAAAGAGAUGCAGCAACUUAUGCAAUUAGAUCACCUUUGGAGGUCCAUCCCAGACAAGCACACAACCACUGUCACUGUUACACUAAACGUUAUGCUAAUGCAUUGACGAAAGACCCGAACAACCAUGUAGAAGGCACUACUGUAUGACGUUUGGUAUAAUUUUUGGGUUACUUCAUGGCUCCACUACAGAAACACAUUUUUACGCCCGAGAAUUGUCAGAAGAUCCUCAAUGAGCUUGCAACAUGUUCUAAAUGUUGCUGAAAAAGCCUGUGGAACUUUGUACUUCAUUGAUCAAGGCUACGAGGAUGUUGGUGCUGCGUUCCAAUCGUCUCCUUUCAAAGAGGCUGUUAUAUAGGAUGCUGAAAAAUCCCCCUUGAGGGCUGCUGCUUAUGAGACUGAAUAAAAUUUUGAGAUAUUUGACUAUCUGGUUGGUCCCCCUCUUCGUGAUGGAACUCCAUGAAACAUUUGAAGCACAAAGCAUUCAUCAGACAGGAGGGAGAAGCAAAAUGACUUACAGGGCCAUGAUUGCUUGGUAGAAGCAGAACUGCUAAAGCACAAAAUUUGAUAGCUAGUAAUCAAUAUUAGUUUCUAGCUCAAAACAAUGAUUGCUAGAUCAUUUGAACAAGUGAGAGUUUCAGAUGGUGCUGGAAAAGAAAGUGAAACCCCAUCAAAUGUACCAGCUAGAAGAGUCAUCACCGAAUUCUUCAUUUCCAGAAUGUACAGGUUUCUGUGCAAAAUUUAAGAGAGCAGAGAAGAUGACUGUUCUAUGGCAUGGCAAUGAAGCAAGAGAGGUAGAUAACUGGUCAACUACUGGAAUGUGGCAACCCAGUAAUAUCAAAGUCACCACCCAUUUCUUGGUAUCAACUUGAAACAACAGUCAUGGUGGAUGGGAGUGGUCUUCUUUUUUCUCCUUAUGCUGAAACAACUUGUGCAUCCAAACUAUUGAAGAACUAUGAUCAUCAUAGGUGCACUAUACAGAAAUCACACAGAAAGCAAUAUAAAGAAAAUAUGAAACAGCAUGCAGCACCAAAGGAACCAUCCAGUGAUUUAGCACCACAUUUUUUCAGCCACACAUUUGGCCUUUUCGGCAAUGGUUGGUCCACUUUGUAUGGCUCAGUUUGACACCACAAAAUGUGGAUAGAGAACUGCUUUUCGUGAUGGCGAAUAUCUUCUGCGACCGAGUUCUUUUGUUUCUGGAGCUUGGAAAUGACCUGAUCUAUUAAUGAAUCUUUGAAGGGGCCUUUAAGCAGAAAUAUUUAUCGGCAAGGUUAAUAGAGGUGGAGUUGGAGCCAAGCAGAAGACCUUUUUCUUUUUACCAUCAUAUCACUGAUCUUUUUGGUGGAAAUAGUCUGCAAAGUUAUCAUGAACAGUGAACCGUACCACACACCUCUAAGGCUUUUCCAGCUGCCAUUGCACAACCAUAAAAGAAGCCUUGGCCUCCCAAAGCUCGCACAAUCCUCCUCUUCAGAACAGCAGCAGCACUACCAAUGAUGCUGAGGAUCCGACCCUUCCUCACCAAUAUUUUGCUAGUUCUUCUCUUGGUGACAUCUUUAGGCCAGGCUGACAUCACUGAGGAUGGAACUGAGCCAAUGAAGGCCUCAGAUCUGGUGUCCAAGGUGCAAACAAGAAAGGUUUUGGUAGAGGGUAUACUAGAUUACGACUAUGGAGGACACAACUCCAGACAUGAACCCAGGAGAGGAAAGUCAGGAAAUGGUGGUAAUCCAUAGAUGGACGCCUCAAGCCUCAAGCCUCAAGCCUCUUCGCCAAAGGGCCUUAGUGGACUAGCGUCCCAUCUUGUUCAUCAAUCCGCUUAAUGUACAACUACUAGAUCUUCAAAUCCAUUAUUGUGACUUUUUUCUUUGUUAGUUUGGUUGCCCCCAGAUAUGGAGACAUGUUAACUUGUGCUUGUAAGUAGUUCUUCCAGUGAGAUGUUGUGCUUGAGAAGAACCUAAGUAUUAAUGUCAGAAACAAAAAGGAGCAAUACUCUCAUUUUCACCA
Long non-coding RNA from Musa acuminata AAA Group (dessert banana), 3772 nucleotides. RefSeq lists it as uncharacterized. The transcript has 6 exons. The record is from RefSeq and is a predicted model, not a curated record. Lineage: Eukaryota; Viridiplantae; Streptophyta; Magnoliopsida; Zingiberales; Musaceae.